Molecule: ribosomal RNA, 300 nt
Filed under: uncultured Eggerthella sp.
Lineage: Bacteria; Bacillati; Actinomycetota; Coriobacteriia; Eggerthellales; Eggerthellaceae
Description: partial 16S ribosomal RNA
Rfam family: Bacterial small subunit ribosomal RNA (bases 52-300)
Source: RNAcentral
GUAAAUCGGGGGGGGGGGAGCGUGGUAAUGCGGAGGGUCCGGACGUUAAUGGGAAUGACUGGGGGGAAAGCGGGGGCAGGCGGGUUGUUAAGGAGGAUGUGAAAGCCCUGUGCUCAACCUAGGAAUAGCAUGUCGAACUGGCGAACUAGAGUCUUGUAGAGGGGGGUAGAAUUCCAGGUGUAGCGGUGAAAUGCGUAGAGAUCUGGAGGAAUACCGGUGGCGAAGGCGGCCCCCUGGACAAAGACUGACGCUCAUGCACGAAAGCGUGGGGAGCAAACAGGAUUAGAUACCCCAGUAGUC